AGCAGCAGCCGCGGUAAUACGUAGGGUGCAAGCGUUAUCCGGAAUUAUUGGGCGUAAAGAGCUCGUAGGCGGUUUGUCGCGUCUGCUGUGAAAACUGGAGGCUCAACCUCCAGCCUGCAGUGGGUACGGGCAGACUAGAGUGCGGUAGGGGAGAUUGGAAUUCCUGGUGUAGCGGUGGAAUGCGCAGAUAUCAGGAGGAACACCGAUGGCGAAGGCAGAUCUCUGGGCCGUAACUGACGCUGAGGAGCGAAAGCGUGGGGAGCGAACAGGAUUAGAUACCCGAGUAGUCCCUGUCUCUUAUAC
RNAcentral lists this ribosomal RNA (303 nucleotides) under uncultured bacterium. RNAcentral describes it as "partial 16S ribosomal RNA". It matches the Rfam family "Bacterial small subunit ribosomal RNA", at positions 507 to 807 of the family's 1533-position model. The record is from RNAcentral.